GACGAACGCUGGCGGCGUGCUUAACACAUGCAAGUCGAACGGAAAGGCCCUGCUUUCGUGGGGUGCUCGAGUGGCGAACGGGUGAGUAACACGUGAGUAACCUGCUCUUGACUUUGGGAUAACUUCAGGAAACUGGGGCUAAUACCGGAUAGGAGCUCCUGCUGCAUGGUGGGGGUUGGAAAGUUUCGGCGGUUGGGGAUGGACUCGCGGCUUAUCAGCUUGCUGGUGGGGUAGUGGCUUACCAAGGCUUUGACGGGUAGCCGGCCUGAGAGGGUGACCGGCGACAUUGGGACUGAGAAACGGCCCAGACUCCUACGGGAGGCAGCAGUGGGGAAUAUGGCACAAUAGGCGGAAGCCUGAUGCAGCAACGCCGCGUGCGGGAUGGCGGCCUUCGGGUUGUAAACCGCAUUCGCCUGUGACGAAGCGGGAGUGACGGUAAUGGGUAAAGAAGCACCGGCUAACUACGUG
Molecule: ribosomal RNA, 468 nt
Filed under: uncultured bacterium
Lineage: Bacteria
Description: partial 16S ribosomal RNA
Rfam family: Bacterial small subunit ribosomal RNA
Source: RNAcentral